This 140-nucleotide ribosomal RNA is filed under the name uncultured eukaryote. RNAcentral describes it as "partial 18S ribosomal RNA". It matches the Rfam family "Eukaryotic small subunit ribosomal RNA", at positions 1299 to 1458 of the family's 1831-position model. The record is from RNAcentral.
UGGUGGAGUGAUUUGUCUGGUUAAUUCCGUUAACGAACGAGACCUUAGCCUGCUAAAUAGUUACAUGUAAUUUCGGUCACAUGGGCAGCUUCUUAGAGGGACUUCGUGUGUCUAACACGAGGAAGUUUGAGGCGAUAACA